CCUACGGGAGGCAGCAGUGAGGAAUAUUGGUCAAUGGGCUUACGCCUGAACCAGCCAAGUCGCGUGAGGGAAGACUGCCCUAUGGGUUGUAAACCUCUUUUGUCAGGGAGCAACGCCGGCUACGUGUAGCCGGACUGAGCGUACCUGAAGAAAAAGCAUCGGCUAACUCCGUGCCAGCAGCCGCGGUAAUACGGAGGAUUCAAGCGUUAUCCGGAUUUAUUGGGUUUAAAGGGUGCGUAGGCGGUUGGAUAAGUUAGAGGUGAAAUCCCGAGGCUCAACUUCGGAAUUGCCUCUGAUACUGUUCGGCUAGAGAGUAGUUGCGGUAGGCGGAAUGUAUGGUGUAGCGGUGAAAUGCUUAGAUAUCACGCAGAACUCCGAUUGCGAAGGCAGCAUACCGGCGCCCAACUGACGCUGAAGCACGAAAGCGUGGGUAUCGAACAGGAUUAGAUACCCGAGUAGUC
This 461-nucleotide ribosomal RNA is filed under the name uncultured bacterium. Its description in RNAcentral is "partial 16S ribosomal RNA". It matches the Rfam family "Bacterial small subunit ribosomal RNA", at positions 338 to 795 of the family's 1533-position model. The record is from RNAcentral.